AACGAACGCUGGCGGCAUGCCUAACACAUGCAAGUCGAACGAGACCUUCGGGUCUAGUGGCGCACGGGUGCGUAACGCGUGGGAACCUGCCCUUAGGUUCGGAAUAACUCCCCGAAAGGGGUGCUAAUACCGGAUAAUGUCUUCGGACCAAAGAUUUAUCGCCUUUGGAUGGGCCCGCGUUGGAUUAGCUAGUUGGUAGGGUAAAAGCCUACUAAGGCGACGAUCCAUAGCUGGUCUGAGAGGAUGAUCAGCCACACUGGGACUGAGACACGGCCCAGACUCCUACGGGAGGGAGCAGAGGGGAAUAUUGGACAAUGGGCGAAAGGCUGAUCCAGCAAUGCCGGGUGAGUGAUGAAGGCCGUAGGGUUGUAAAGCUCUUUUAACCGGGAUGAUAAUGACAGUACCGGGAGAAUAAGCACCGGCUAACUCCGUG
RNAcentral lists this ribosomal RNA (433 nucleotides) under uncultured bacterium. Its description in RNAcentral is "partial 16S ribosomal RNA". It matches the Rfam family "Bacterial small subunit ribosomal RNA", at positions 29 to 507 of the family's 1533-position model. The record is from RNAcentral.